Molecule: ribosomal RNA, 464 nt
Filed under: Vreelandella stevensii
Lineage: Bacteria; Pseudomonadati; Pseudomonadota; Gammaproteobacteria; Oceanospirillales; Halomonadaceae
Description: partial 16S ribosomal RNA
Rfam family: Bacterial small subunit ribosomal RNA
Source: RNAcentral
CCUACGGUGGCUGCAGUGGGGAAUAUUGGACAAUGGGCGAAAGCCUGAUCCAGCCAUGCCGCGUGUGUGAAGAAGGCCUUCGGGUUGUAAAGCACUUUCAGUGGGGAAGAAAGCCUUGGGGCUAAUACCCUCGAGGAAGGACAUCACCCACAGAAGAAGCACCGGCUAACUCCGUGCCAGCAGCCGCGGUAAUACGGAGGGUGCGAGCGUUAAUCGGAAUUACUGGGCGUAAAGCGCGCGUAGGCGGUCUGAUAAGCCGGUUGUGAAAGCCCCGGGCUCAACCUGGGAACGGCAUCCGGAACUGUCAGGCUAGAGUGCAGGAGAGGAAGGUAGUAUUCCCGGUGUAGCGGUGAAAUGCGUAGAGAUCGGGAGGAAUACCAGUGGCGAAGGCGGCCUUCUGGACUGACACUGACGCUGAGGUGCGAAAGCGUGGGUAGCAAACAGGAUUAGAUACCCCUGUAGUC